RNAcentral lists this ribosomal RNA (251 nucleotides) under uncultured prokaryote. RNAcentral describes it as "partial 16S rRNA". It matches the Rfam family "Bacterial small subunit ribosomal RNA", at positions 525 to 775 of the family's 1533-position model. The record is from RNAcentral.
ACGUAGGGGGCGAGCGUUGUUCGGAAUUACUGGGCGUAAAGGGCUUGUAGGCGGGAAGCUAAGUCUUUGAACAAAGCCUGAUGCUUAACAUCAGAAAGUUUGAGGAAACUGGUUUUCUUGAGAACAGGAGAGGGGAGUGGAAUUCCUAGUGUAGCGGUGAAAUGCGUAGAUAUUAGGAGGAACACCAGUGGCGAAGGCGGCUCUCUGGCCUGUUUCUGACGCUGAGGAGCGAAAGCUGGGGGAGCAAACGG